This 511-nucleotide ribosomal RNA is filed under the name Typhula ishikariensis. RNAcentral describes it as "eukaryotic LSU rRNA". The stretch from base 219 to 372 matches the Rfam family "5.8S ribosomal RNA". Lineage: Eukaryota; Fungi; Basidiomycota; Agaricomycetes; Agaricales; Typhulaceae. The record is from RNAcentral.
CAAAGUAAUCGUUCCCUUGUCCCAUCCCACUUGUACGGGGGAGUUGUAAAAGAAAGGAUCAUUAAUUUGGUUCUCUCCUUAUAGCUCUCCAAAGAGAGGGUAAGAUGUUACAAGAACGAUCUUUGCCUUAUAACAUACCCUUCUUUUAAAAAUGUUUAUGAACGUCAAACAAUGUAGGCUCGCCUUAAAAACGUGUAGCUGAAAUUAUAAAAUUAUACAACUUUUAACAACGGAUCUCUUGGCUCUCGCAUCGAUGAAGAACGCAGCGAAAUGCGAUAAGUAAUGUGAAUUGCAGAAUUCAGUGAAUCAUCGAAUCUUUGAACGCACCUUGCGCUCCCUGGUAUUCCGGGGAGCAUGCCUGUUUGAGUGUCAUUAAAUUCUCAACCUCGAACCGUUUGUUUACAGACUUUACGAGGCUUGGACUUUGGAGUGUGCCGGUCUCUAACGGGAUCGACUCCUCUUUAAAUGCAUUAGCUGGAACCUCCUGUGGACCAGACUACGGUGUGAUAAU